AGCGAACGCUGGCGGCAGGCCUAACACAUGCAAGUCGAACGAACUCUUCGGAGUUAGUGGCGGACGGGUGCGUAACACGUGGGAACGUGCCUUUAGGUUCGGAAUAACUCAGGGAAACUUGUGCUAAUACCGAAUGUGCCCUUCGGGGGAAAGAUUUAUCGCCUUUAGAGCGGCCCGCGUCUGAUUAGCUAGUUGGUGAGGUAAAGGCUCACCAAGGCGACGAUCAGUAGCUGGUCUGAGAGGAUGAUCAGCCACAUUGGGACUGAGACACGGCCCAAACUCCUACGGGAGGCAGCAGUGGGGAAUCUUGCGCAAUGGGCGAAAGCCUGACGCAGCCAUGCCGCGUGAAUGAUGAAGGUCUUAGGAUUGUAAAAUUCUUUCACCGGGGACGAUAAUGACGGUACCCGGAGAAGAAGCCCCGGCUAACUUCGU
RNAcentral lists this ribosomal RNA (432 nucleotides) under uncultured bacterium. RNAcentral's name for it is "partial 16S ribosomal RNA". It matches the Rfam family "Bacterial small subunit ribosomal RNA", at positions 29 to 506 of the family's 1533-position model. The record is from RNAcentral.